GAUAAAAAUAUGGAGGUGCAGACAAAUGUACCGCUGUCUGCAGAGGUUCAAUAUACUUCUGUGAGGUUUUGCAAGCAACCAACAGAACUUCAGAAAAACGCUGCCAUAAAUCACAAUCAGGAUUCUGAUUCUGAAGUGGUGUAUGCUGUUAUCCAGCCAAAUAAAGAACAAUUUCCAAGACAAAGAUAAUGAAAAAUAUAUUAAUAUUGAAUGUACAGCAAAGGGUAAAAAGAUUAACGUUAGACAUGCCAAUACAGCCCUAUAGGAUAACGCACAAUGUUCACUUAAGUUGUUUGAUAAUCAAUUCCAGACAUAACAUUUUCUACAAUUAACUUUAAUUUUCGCCUGCUAUAUCAAAAGCUCAUCCAUGUA
Rana temporaria (common frog) is the source of this 372-nucleotide long non-coding RNA. RefSeq lists it as uncharacterized. Lineage: Eukaryota; Metazoa; Chordata; Amphibia; Anura; Ranidae. The transcript is spliced from 3 exons. The record is from RefSeq and is a predicted model, not a curated record.